RNAcentral lists this microRNA (18 nucleotides) under Corchorus capsularis. Its description in RNAcentral is "sRNA CCACVL1_28280". The record is from RNAcentral. Lineage: Eukaryota; Viridiplantae; Streptophyta; Magnoliopsida; Malvales; Malvaceae.
UGGGGUGGUGGAUUCUGU